This 304-nucleotide long non-coding RNA is filed under the name Nicotiana benthamiana. Its description in RNAcentral is "long non-coding RNA (NBEN_LNC028950)". The record is from RNAcentral. Lineage: Eukaryota; Viridiplantae; Streptophyta; Magnoliopsida; Solanales; Solanaceae.
UUCUCCGCAAUUGCAAAGAAAAGCCAUUUAUUGAUGGCUAAAAAGCCACCUAGACUAUCAUAUUUUUGCAUAUUUUAUGCUUAAAACUACACAUUAUUUAUGUUACCCUCUGAACUAUAGCUUUCAAGGAUUAAACCCCUAAUUCAAUAUUUUUUUAGAUGUGUGUAUUUACUCUCCUAAAACGCUUUAAAUAGUGCCAAGUAACACUAGGGGUGUGCAUUCGAUUUACCGAUACGAUUUUGACCCUUAUCGAUAAUUACUUAUCGAUUAUCGAUUUGUACAUAGGCUUAUCGUUAUCGUUUCA